RNAcentral lists this ribosomal RNA (503 nucleotides) under Penaeus japonicus. Its description in RNAcentral is "partial 16S ribosomal RNA". It matches the Rfam family "Bacterial large subunit ribosomal RNA", at positions 1838 to 2590 of the family's 2925-position model. The record is from RNAcentral. Lineage: Eukaryota; Metazoa; Arthropoda; Malacostraca; Decapoda; Penaeidae.
GAUUGUUAUAUAAAGUCUAGCCUGCCCACUGAUUUGUUUUAAAGGGCCGCGGUAUAUUGACCGUGCGAAGGUAGCAUAAUCAUUAGUCUUUUAAUUGGAGGCUUGUAUGAAUGGUUGGACAAAAAGUAAGCUGUCUCGGUUAUAAUAAUUGAACUUAACUUUUAAGUGAAAAGGCUUAAAUGUUUCAGGGGGACGAUAAGACCCUAUAAAGCUUGACAAUAAUUUCGUUAUAUUAUAAAUUGUUAGUAUAACUUGAUUUUAACGGGAGUUUGUUUCGUUGGGGCGACGGGAAUAUAAUAAAUAACUGUUCUUUUAAAUACAAUUACAAAAAUACUUGGUAAAUAAUUGAUCCUCUAUUAGAGAUUAAAAGAUUAAGUUACUUUAGGGAUAACAGCGUAAUCUUCUUUGAGAGUCCACAUCGACAAGAAGGUUUGCGACCUCGAUGUUGAAUUAAGGUAUCCUUAUAAUGCAGCAGUUAUAAAGGAGGGUCUGUUCGACCUUUA